GCGGGACUAGCUCAGUUGGUAGAGCACGAGCUUCCCAAGCUCGGGGUCACGGGUUCGAGUCCCGUGUCCCGCU
Molecule: transfer RNA, 73 nt
Filed under: Polyangiaceae bacterium
Lineage: Bacteria; Pseudomonadati; Myxococcota; Polyangiales; Polyangiaceae
Also listed under: 1 other name
Description: tRNA-Gly
Rfam family: tRNA
About the family: Transfer RNA (tRNA) molecules are approximately 80 nucleotides in length. Their secondary structure includes four short double-helical elements and three loops (D, anti-codon, and T loops).
Source: RNAcentral